This 451-nucleotide ribosomal RNA is filed under the name uncultured bacterium. Its description in RNAcentral is "partial 16S ribosomal RNA". It matches the Rfam family "Bacterial small subunit ribosomal RNA", at positions 28 to 523 of the family's 1533-position model. The record is from RNAcentral.
GAUGAACGCUGGCGGCGUGCCUAAUACAUGCAAGUCGAACGAAGCCUUCGGGCUUAGUGGCGAACGGGUGAGUAACACGUUGGUACCUACCCUCUAGUGGGGAAUAACUGGCCGAAAGGUCGGCUAAUACCGCAUAAUACCGCAAGGUUAAAGCAGCAAUGCGCUAGAGGAGGGGCCUGCGUCCCAUUAGCUUGUUGGUAGUGUAAUGGACUACCAAGGCGACGAUGGGUAGCUGGAUCGAGAGGUUGACCAGCCACACUGGGACUGAGAUACGGCCCAGACUCCUACGGGAGGCAGCAGUAAGGAAGCUUCCACAAUGGACGAAAGUCUGAUGGAGCAACGCCGCGUGCAGGAUGACGGCCUUCGGGUUGUAAACUGCUUUUAUAUGGGAAGAUUAUGACGGUACCACAUGAAUAAGGACCGGCUAACUACAUGCCAGCCGCCGCGGUAA